RNAcentral lists this ribosomal RNA (634 nucleotides) under uncultured bacterium. Its description in RNAcentral is "bacterial SSU rRNA". It matches the Rfam family "Bacterial small subunit ribosomal RNA", at positions 121 to 769 of the family's 1533-position model. The record is from RNAcentral.
GGAAUUCGCCUCUUGGACUGGGACAACUGUCGGAAACGACAGCUAAUACCGGAUAUUAUGAGAUUCUCGCAUGGGAAACUUAUGAAAGCUAUAUGCGCCAAGAGAGAGCCUUGCGUUCCAUUAGCUAGUUGGUGGGGUAAUGGCCCACCAAGGCGACGAUGGAUAGCCGGCCUGAGAGGGUGAACGGCCACAAGGGGACUGAGACACGGCCCUUACUCCUACGGGAGGCAGCAGUGGGGAAUAUUGGACAAUGGGCCACAAGCCUGAUCCAGCAAUUCUGUGUGCACGAUGAAGGUCUUCGGAUCGUAAAGUGCUUUCAGUUGGGAAGAAGAAAGUGACGGUACCAACAGAAGAAGCGACGGCUAAAUACGUGCCAGCAGCCGCGGUAAUACGUAUGUCGCAAGCGUUAUCCGGAUUUAUUGGGCGUAAAGCGCGUCUAGGCGGAAAAAUAAGUCUGAUGUUAAAAUGCGGGGCUCAACUCCGUAUUGCGUUGGAAACUGUUUUUCUAGAGUACUGGAGAGGUGGGCGGAACUACAAGUGUAGAGGUGAAAUUCGUAGAUUUUUGUAGGAAUGCCGAUGGAGAAUUCAGCUCACUGGACAGAUACUGACGCUAAAACGCGAAAGCGUGGGGAGC